UGAGGAAUAUUGGUCAAUGGACGCAAGUCUGAACCAGCCAAGUAGCGUGCAGGAUGACGGCCCUAUGGGUUGUAAACUGCUUUUAUAUGGGGAUAAAGUGGGGAACGUGUUCCCUUUUGCAGGUACCAUAUGAAUAAGGACCGGCUAAUUCCGUGCCAGCAGCCGCGGUAAUACGGUAGGUUCGGGCGUUAUCCGGAUUUAUUGGGUUUAAAGGGAGCGUAGGCCGUUUGGUAAGCGUGUUGUGAAAUGUAGGAGCUCAACUUCUAGAUUGCAGCGCGAACUGUCAGACUUGAGUGCGCACAACGUAGGCGGAAUUCAUGGUGUAGCGGUGAAAUGCUUAGAUAUCAUGAAGAACUCCGAUUGCGAAGGCAGCUUACGGGAGCGCAACUGACGCUGAAGCUCGAAGGUGCGGGUAUCGAACAGG
Molecule: ribosomal RNA, 424 nt
Filed under: Verrucomicrobiota bacterium
Lineage: Bacteria; Pseudomonadati; Verrucomicrobiota
Description: Verrucomicrobia bacterium partial 16S ribosomal RNA
Rfam family: Bacterial small subunit ribosomal RNA
Source: RNAcentral